This is a long non-coding RNA of Magnolia sinica, 1057 nucleotides long. RefSeq lists it as uncharacterized. The record is from RefSeq and is a predicted model, not a curated record. NCBI's taxonomy places the organism in Eukaryota, Viridiplantae, Streptophyta, Magnoliopsida, Magnoliales, Magnoliaceae. The transcript is spliced from 3 exons.
UGGGAAGAUGCGUCAGUUAAGACAUCUUCAAAUACCGUAUUGGGGAAAGAUAGGAGGGCAUCCGAGGCUCGACCUGAUAAGUAACCUCCAGACUCUAUCUGGAGUACGUCCUGGCAAAUGGAUGAAGGGUUGCUUGGGAAAGCUCACCAAUCUUAGAAAUUUAAAAACAUAUUUCGAAACAGGAGCUGAUGCUGAGUUAUUCUAUGAGGCGAUUGUCAAUCUGAAAUGCCUCCAUCAUCUGUGGGUGUGGAUGCCUGUACCGACACAUGGCAAUGAAGACAGAGCCUUAAUUUUGUCCUUAGCUAAUCUUUCACAUCUUCUCAAGUUAAGUACGUUGUAUUGGAGAGGAAUUUUAGAGACGUUACCUGAAUUUCCAACAAACCUCACCAAACUCACCUUGGAAGGCUCCGACUUAAAGGUAGACCCAAUGGCGACGUUGGCGAAGCUGAAAAACCUUCGCAUUCUCAAAUUGCUCAAAGAUUCAUAUGAUGGAGUGGAAAUGGCUUGCUUGGCACAAGGGUUUCCUCAACUCGAAUCCUUACAUCUUCAACAGUUACAUAACUUAAAGGAGUGGAGAGUUGAUGAAGGAGCUAUGCCAAAUCUUUUACAUUUACGGAUCGAUUACUGCGGUCAAUUGAAGAAGCUUCCAGAAGGACUGCAACACGUGACUACCCUCAAGAAAUUGGAGUUGUGGACGAUGCCUUAUGAAUUGAAAGCAAGGGUUCGAGAAGACCGGGGAGAGGAUUGGUAUAAGAUCCAGCACAUACCCUCCAUCCACAUACGAUAGAUAAUGAGAAGCUAAGCAGUCGGACUUUAAUUUCUAUCAUUAUGAGAGGCCAACCAUCGAGAGGUUAGACAGGAGCUUCGAGCAUUUUUCUCACAACAGAGAUUGCAAUGAUCUGCAUGUGCUAUGUGACUAGACGAAGUGAAGAAUGGUGGAAUGGUGACUAGACAGUGAUGAGAUGUUUGGAUGAUCAUUUGUAUUUGUAACUCAAGGAUUUACGUAGUUUCUGUUUGAGAUAUUUCAAUAUGGAAACAUGCACUUAUAUUCGUUACA